Molecule: ribosomal RNA, 492 nt
Filed under: uncultured bacterium
Lineage: Bacteria
Description: partial 16S ribosomal RNA
Rfam family: Bacterial small subunit ribosomal RNA
Source: RNAcentral
AGUGAACGCUGGCGGUAGGCCUAACACAUGCAAGUCGAACGGAAGCACAGUAAGAGCUUGCUCUUACGGGUGGCGAGUGGCGGACGGGUGAGGAAUACAUCGGACUCUACUUUUUCGUGGGGGAUAACGUAGGGAAACUUACGCUAAUACCGCAUACGACCUACUGGUGAAAGCAGGGGAUCUUCGUACCUUGCGCGAUUGAAUUAGCCGAUGUCGGAUUAGCUAGUUGGCGGGGUAAAGGCCCACCAAGGCGACGAUCCGUAGCUGGUCUGAGGGGAUGAUCAGCAACACUGGAACUGAGACAAGGUCCAGACUCCGAAGGGAGGCAGCAGUGGGGAAUAUUGGACAAUGGGCGCAAGCCUGAACCAGCCAAACCGCGUAGGUGAAGAAGGCCUUCGGGUUGUAAAGCACUUUUGUUGGGAAAGAAAAGCAGCAGGUUAAUACCCAGCUGUUCUGACGGUACCCAAAGAAUAAGCACCGGCUAACUUCGUG